UACAGAACAUUUUGGGAGAUGUUCCAUAGU
RNAcentral lists this non-coding RNA (30 nucleotides) under Mus musculus (house mouse). Lineage: Eukaryota; Metazoa; Chordata; Mammalia; Rodentia; Muridae. The record is from RNAcentral.